UCCGUCGAUUUUGAUGGUUGGCUGACUCGGAUAAAAUAGAAUUUGAGCCUUUACGGCUCUUCUCAAAAUGCAAGAGGGAUGACAGAAGUUCGUAGUGAACUCGGGCAGAUUUCAUGCAACAAAGACAAGUAAAAUCAUAUUAGCAUAGGAAAAGGAAACUCUAACGCACUUCUAAAAUGAACAACAUUAAGGCGACUAACAACUCAAUACAACAAAAGCAUAAUGAGAUGUUUAAGGACUAAUCUAAUAAAGCCAAUGACUUGGCCAACUACUUGUCACUCACUUGCUACAAUGAGAAAAAUGGCUAAAAGUUGUUUUGAUACACAUUCACAAAUACUACUAGAAUAUAAACAAAGAAAAUGUGGAAUGCAAAUCGUGAAUAUAAACUAGACACUAUAGGUACAUGCAACAUGCAAAUCGUGGACAAAUUCUAGUUUGACCUCGGUCCACUCUCCAUUUCCACGCAUAUACCCCUAAAUUGACACUGAUUAAAUGAACUAUUAAGAAUGCGGACAACAAACAUAUAUUUAGCACUUAAGACCGAAUUCUUGAGUAUACAUAGAAACUGUUAUCAAAUGAAAUUAACACUAUAUUUUAGACCAAUAAGACUAGGAGACAAAUGACUUAGCAAGUUUAACACCACAGUGAUCGAAACAAACAUAACUUAAUUACCAAAGUUGUAGUGAUUCUAUAAGGAAAAUCGAGUAAUGCGGAGUCAACAAAGGAUUCCUAUAAUUAUCAUUUAU
RNAcentral lists this long non-coding RNA (746 nucleotides) under Solanum tuberosum (potato). RNAcentral's name for it is "long non-coding RNA (STUB_LNC003800)". Lineage: Eukaryota; Viridiplantae; Streptophyta; Magnoliopsida; Solanales; Solanaceae. The record is from RNAcentral.